CCUACGGGAGGCUGCAGUGAGGAAUAUUGGUCAAUGGGCGCGAGCCUGAACCAGCCAAGUAGCGUGAAGGAUGACUGCCCUAUGGGUUGUAAACUUCUUUUAUAAAGGAAUAAAGUGAAGCAUGUAUGCCUCUUUGCAUGUACCUUAUGAAUAAGGAUCGGCUAACUCCGUGCCAGCAGCCGCGGUAAUACGGAGGAUCCGAGCGUUAUCCGGAUUUAUUGGGUUUAAAGGGAGCGUAGGUGGGUUGUUAAGUCAGUUGUGAAAGUUUGAGGCUCAACCGUAAAAUUGCAAUUGAUACUGGCAGUCUUGAGUACAGUUGAGGUAGGCGGAAUUCGUGGUGUAGCGGUGAAAUGCUUAGAUAUCACGAAGAACUCCGAUUGCGAAGGCAGCUUGCUAAACUGCCACUGACAUUGAUGCUCGAAAGUGUGGGUAUCAAACAGGAUUAGAUACCCGUGUAGUC
This 460-nucleotide ribosomal RNA is filed under the name uncultured bacterium. Its description in RNAcentral is "partial 16S ribosomal RNA". It matches the Rfam family "Bacterial small subunit ribosomal RNA", at positions 338 to 795 of the family's 1533-position model. The record is from RNAcentral.